AAUCGUACCCCAAACCGACACAGGUGGUCAGGUAGAGAAUACCAAGGCGCUUGAGAGAACUCGGGUGAAGGAACUAGGCAAAAUGGUGCCGUAACUUCGGGAGAAGGCACGCUGACAUGUAGGUGAAGUGAUUUACUCAUGGAGCUGAAGUCAGUCGAAGAUACCAGCUGGCUGCAACUGUUUAUUAAAAACACAGCACUGUGCAAACACGAAAGUGGACGUAUACGGUGUGACGCCUGCCCGGUGCCGGAAGGUUAAUUGAUGGGGUCAGCGCAAGCGAAGCUCCUGAUCGAAGCCCCGGUAAACGGCGGCCGUAACUAUAACGGUCCUAAGGUAGCGAAAUUCCUUGUCGGGUAAGUUCCGACCUGCACGAAUGGCGUAAUGAUGGCCAGGCUGUCUCCACCCGAGACUCAGUGAAAUUGAACUCGCUGUGAAGAUGCAGUGUACCCGCGGCAAGACGGAAAGACCCCGUGAACCUUUACUAUAGCUUGACACUGAACAUUGAGCCUUGAUGUGUAGGAUAGGUGGGAGGCUUUGAAGUGUGGACGCCAGUCUGCAUGGAGCCGGCCUUGAAAUACCACCCUUUAAUGUUUGAUGUUCUAACGUGGACCCGUGAUCCGGGUUGCGGACAGUGUCUGGUGGGUAGUUUGACUGGGGCGGUCUCCUCCUAAAGAGUAACGGAGGAGCACGAAGGUUGGCUAAUCCUGGUCGGACAUCAGGAGGUUAGUGCAAUGGCAUAAGCCAGCUUGACUGCGAGCGUGACGGCGCGAGCAGGUGCGAAAGCAGGUCAUAGUGAUCCGGUGGUUCUGAAUGGAAGGGCCAUCGCUCAACGGAUAAAAGGUACUCCGGGGAUAACAGGCUGAUACCGCCCAAGAGUUCAUAUCGACGGCGGUGUUUGGCACCUCGAUGUCGGCUCAUCACAUCCUGGGGCUGAAGUAGGUCCCAAGGGUAUGGCUGUUCGCCAUUUAAAGUGGUACGCGAGCUGGGUUUAGAACGUCGUGAGACAGUUCGGUCCCUAUCUGCCGUGGGCGCUGGAGAACUGAGGGGGGCUGCUCCUAGUACGAGAGGACCGGAGUGGACGCAUCACUGGUGUUCGGGUUGUCAUGCCAAUGGCACUGCCCGGUAGCUAAAUGCGGAAGAGAUAAGUGCUGAAAGCAUCUAAGCACGAAACUUGCCCCGAGAUGAGUUCUCCCUGAGACUUUAGGUCUCCUGAAGGAACGUUGAAGACGACGACGUUGAUAGGCCGGGUGUGUAAGCGCAGCGAUGCGUUGAGCUAACCGGUACUAAUGAACCGUGAGGCUUAACC
Molecule: ribosomal RNA, 1306 nt
Filed under: Salmonella enterica subsp. enterica serovar Telelkebir
Lineage: Bacteria; Pseudomonadati; Pseudomonadota; Gammaproteobacteria; Enterobacterales; Enterobacteriaceae
Description: bacterial LSU rRNA
Rfam family: Bacterial large subunit ribosomal RNA
Source: RNAcentral